GUUAAGCGACUAAGCGUACACGGUGGAUGCCCUGGCAGUCAGAGGCGAUGAAGGACGUGCUAAUCUGCGAUAAGCGUCGGUAAGGUGAUAUGAACCGUUAUAACCGGCGAUUUCCGAAUGGGGAAACCCAGUGUGAUUCGUCACACUAUCAUUAACUGAAUCCAUAGGUUAAUGAGGCGAACCGGGGGAACUGAAACAUCUAAGUACCCCGAGGAAAAGAAAUCAACCGAGAUUCCCCCAGUAGCGGCGAGCGAACGGGGAGCAGCCCAGAGCCUGAAUCAGUGUGUGUGUUAGUGGAAGCGUCUGGAAAGGCGCGCGAUACAGGGUGACAGCCCCGUACACAAAAAUGCACAUGCUGUGAGCUCGAUGAGUAGGGCGGGACACGUGGUAUCCUGUCUGAAUAUGGGGGGACCAUCCUCCAAGGCUAAAUACUCCUGACUGACCGAUAGUGAACCAGUACCGUGAGGGAAAGGCGAAAAGAACCCCGGCGAGGGGAGUGAAAAAGAACCUGAAACCGUGUACGUACAAGCAGUGGGAGCACGCUUAGGCGUGUGACUGCGUACCUUUUGUAUAAUGGGUCAGCGACUUAUAUUCUGUAGCAAGGUUAACCGAAUAGGGGAGCCGAAGGGAAACCGAGUCUUAACUGGGCGUUAAGUUGCAGGGUAUAGACCCGAAACCCGGUGAUCUAGCCAUGGGCAGGUUGAAGGUUGGGUAACACUAACUGGAGGACCGAACCGACUAAUGUUGAAAAAUUAGCGGAUGACUUGUGGCUGGGGGUGAAAGGCCAAUCAAACCGGGAGAUAGCUGGUUCUCCCCGAAAGCUAUUUAGGUAGCGCCUCGUGAAUUCAUCUCCGGGGGUAG
Molecule: ribosomal RNA, 861 nt
Filed under: Escherichia coli
Lineage: Bacteria; Pseudomonadati; Pseudomonadota; Gammaproteobacteria; Enterobacterales; Enterobacteriaceae
Description: partial 23S ribosomal RNA
Rfam family: Bacterial large subunit ribosomal RNA
Source: RNAcentral